This 246-nucleotide long non-coding RNA is filed under the name Ananas comosus (pineapple). Its description in RNAcentral is "long non-coding RNA (ACOM_LNC010905)". The record is from RNAcentral. Lineage: Eukaryota; Viridiplantae; Streptophyta; Magnoliopsida; Poales; Bromeliaceae.
UAUUGAUGGUAUAUCAUUAGUGAGAUUUUUACAAUAUUAGUGCAAUGUGGACAUCUGCGGAUAUUUUUCAAUUAAAAAUAUAUACUCAUGGUGAAUUAAUUUCAAAUAAAGAAGCUCAAUGUAUGAAGAGAUAAUGAGUAUUAAUGCGAAAUAUCGAUGCAACAAAUUCUUUUACGGAUAACUAGUUAUCAAAUAAAACAAGUCAAAUUUUAUUAACUCGUUUGGGAUCGCAGAAGCGCAUUAUGU